Molecule: long non-coding RNA, 228 nt
Filed under: Homo sapiens (human)
Lineage: Eukaryota; Metazoa; Chordata; Mammalia; Primates; Hominidae
Description: HSALNT0235515
Source: RNAcentral
GGACCCAGCGCGGGGUCGGUGGAGAAAAGGCCGCCGACGUGGAGACCCAGCGCGGGGUCGGUGGAGAAAAGGCCGCCGACGUGGGGACCCAGCGCGGGGUCGGUGGAGAAAAGGCCGCCGACGUGGAGACCCAGCGCGGGGUCCGUGGAGAAAAGGCCGCCGACGUGGACACCCAGCGCGGGGUCGGUGGAGAAAAGGCCGCCGACGUGGGGACCCAGCGCGGGGUCG